Molecule: ribosomal RNA, 455 nt
Filed under: Scytolyngbya sp. MGCY316
Lineage: Bacteria; Bacillati; Cyanobacteriota; Cyanophyceae; Leptolyngbyales; Leptolyngbyaceae
Description: bacterial SSU rRNA
Rfam family: Bacterial small subunit ribosomal RNA
Source: RNAcentral
AGCCGCGGUAAUACGGAGGAUGCAAGCGUUAUCCGGAUUUAUUGGGCGUAAAGCGUCCGCAGGUGGUUAAUCAAGUCUGCUGUCAAAGCGCAGGGCUCAACUCUGUAAAGGCGGUGGAAACUGGUGAACUAGAGUUCGGUAGGGGUAGCGGGAAUUCCCGGUGUAGCGGUGAAAUGCGUAGAUAUCGGGAAGAACACCAGCGGCGAAAGCGCGCUACUGGGCCGAGACUGACACUCAUGGACGAAAGCUAGGGGAGCGAAAGGGAUUAGAUACCCCUGUAGUCCUAGCUGUAAACGAUGGAAACUAGGUGUUGACCGUAUCGACCCGGUCAGUGCCGUAGCUAACGCGUUAAGUUUCCCGCCUGGGGAGUACGCACGCAAGUGUGAAACUCAAAGGAAUUGACGGGGGCCCGCACAAGCGGUGGAGUAUGUGGUUUAAUUCGAUGCAACGCGAAG